RNAcentral lists this ribosomal RNA (507 nucleotides) under uncultured bacterium. Its description in RNAcentral is "partial 16S ribosomal RNA". The record is from RNAcentral.
GGAGUUAGCCGGUGCUUCUUCUGUGAGUGAUGUCCUUCCUGCCGGCUAUUAACCCGCAGGCCUUCUUCCUCACUGAAAGUGCUUUACAACCCUAAGGCCUUCUUCACACACGCGGCAUGGCUGGAUCAGGGUUGCCCCCAUUGUCCAAUAUUCCCCACUGCUGCCUCCCGUAGGAGUCUGGGCCGUGUCUCAGUCCCAGUGUGGCUGAUCAUCCUCUCAGACCAGCUACGGAUCGUCGCCUUGGUGAGCCGUUACCUCACCAACCAGCUAAUCCGACAUAGGCUCAUCCGAUAGCGCGAGGCCCGAAGGUCCCCCGCUUUCCCCCGUAGGGCGUAUGCGGUAUUAGCCUGGGUUUCCCCAGGUUAUCCCCCACUACCGGGCAGAUUCCUAUGCAUUACUCACCCGUCCGCCGCUCGCCACCAGGGAGCAAGCUCCCCGUGCUGCCGCUCGACUUGCAUGUGUUAGGCCUGCCGCCAGCGUUCAAUCUGAGCCAGGAUCAAACUCUGA